AGAGUUUGAUCAUGGCUCAGGACGAACGCUGGCGGCGCGCCUAAUACAUGCAAGUCGAGCGAGAACCAGGGCUUGCCCUGGGGAGAGCGGCGAACGGGUGCGUAUCACGUGAGCAACCUGCCUCGGAGACCGGAAUAACUCGAGGAAACUCGGGCUAAUGCCGGAUGCCCUCACUGGACCGCAUGGUUCGGUGAGGAAAUGGAUUCCGCUCCGAGAUGGGCUCGCGGCCUAUCAGCUUGUUGGUGGGGUAACGGCCUACCAAGGCAACGACGGGUAGCUGGUCUGAGAGGACGAUCAGCCACACUGGGACUGAGACACGGCCCAGACUCCUACGGGAGGCAGCAGUAGGGAAUCUUGCGCAAUGGGCGAAAGCCUGACGCAGCGACGCCGCGUGCGGGAUGAAGGCCUUCGGGUCGUAAACCGCUUUCAGCAGGGACGAAAUUGACGGUACCUGCAGAAGAAGGCCCGGCCAACUACGUGCCAGCAGCCGCGGUGAUACGUAGGGGUCUAGCGUUGUCCGGAAUCAUUGGGCGUAAAGAGCUCGUAGGCGGUUCGGCAAGUCGGAUGUGAAAUCUCCACGCUCAACGUGGAGGGGCCAUUCGAAACUGCCGUGACUCGAGUCCGGUAGGGGAGUUCGGAAUUCCCGGUGUAGCGGUGAAAUGCGCAGAUAUCGGGAGGAACACCAGUGGCGAAGGCGGAACUCUGGGCCGGAACUGACGCUGAGGAGCGAAAGCGUGGGGAGCGAACAGGAUUAGAUACCCUAGUAGUCC
Molecule: ribosomal RNA, 770 nt
Filed under: uncultured bacterium
Lineage: Bacteria
Description: bacterial SSU rRNA
Rfam family: Bacterial small subunit ribosomal RNA
Source: RNAcentral